AAAAAAAUGGCACAUCUGGAAAGAGCCAUCCCUGUCUGGGAGCAGUCAGCAGAUGUCAACAUCCAUCUGACCACCACCAGUGCCCACCACUCCUCGAGCAUUUGAAGGACCCCCAGGACCUCUCCUGGUCCUGCAACAAGAACCACAAAACUUCUGCUUGACCAUUUCCAGGCAGCUGUUUCCAGGACCCGGAGACCAACUAUAGAUACAAUAAAAACAAAAGCUGACAUGGGACUGGAAACGCUUUCCUCACUCCCAAGGGAGACGGGGAAACAGAAGAAAUGAAGGAAGCAGUUGUGAACCUUCAGUUCCAGCUCACCCAACAGUCACAAAAUCCUUUUUGGGAUCCCCAGUGACCAAAUCACAGCUGCCACAAAAACUGACGUUGCUGAUAAGGGAGCAGAUGUUCCCUCACCUUCAUAUUUUUGCUGGAUACGACUGAUUCAAGUUUCUGGGCACAAAACCAGUUGGAAAGAGCCUGUUCCCAGGGAUAUAUGCCUGCUAAAAACACCAGAGCUGGAUGCCACUGUGACAUGAGGGAUGUAUGUGCCACCUCCUUUCUCCACCUCCAGCCUGAAUCCCAUCCUGCCUUCUCUCAAACUCGACAAAAAGGAGCCAAACCAAAGCAACUGUCUGCAUUUGGCUUUAUCUGCUACAAAAUGUCAAACUCUUCAACAGGAAUCACAACAUUUCCAUCCUCCCUCCCUCCCUCCAAAGCAGGGAGACUGGUGCAAAGAAGCAAAAAAUGUAUCAGAAAAAAAGAAAGCGGCCACAAAUGGACUGAAGAUGGAGGUCCCUUUUGGACAACAAAAGGUCCUGUAGGGGAAAAGCCCACCUGAGUUUCUCCACAUUCCCUUGUGUCACCUCUGAAUGUGCUUCCCAUGCAACCAUUUAUCUGAAAAUGUGAGUGCACGUGGGGCACACUGUGGAAAUAUUAUGACUAAUGAGUGGAACCUGUGCAAUGUGUCAAAAUCUUCCCUCUCUCCCCAUAAAACAGCAUUUCACAGGCACUUGAGACAUCGGCACCUACAUUUAAUCUGUUUUCUUGUGAGAGGAUGGAAUGCAUUCAAUGAAUUACAGUGAUUUUCUGUCUCACCAGUAGAUUCUGCACUGGCAUGGCAGCAGAGAAGCCACAGGCUCCCCCAGGUCAUUGCUAUGGGAUCAGCAGGCUCGCAUCCCCCCUUAUUUAUUUUGGAAGAGCACAUCAGGGCACAACGUAUCAUUUGAUUUUGAUUUUUUUUUUUUUUUUCCCUGCUAAUAGAUUCUGUGCUGGCAUGGCAGCAGAGAAGCCACAGGUCCCCCCAUGCCACUGCUAUGGGAUCAACAGGCUCGCAUCCCCCCUUAUUUAUUUUGGAAGAGCACAUCAGGGCAUAACAUAUCAUUUGAUUUUUUAAUUAUUUUUUCCCUGCUAAUACCCUAUUUUCCCCAUCUCUGGUCUUUGAUGGCACUGGACUGCAUCUCCUUGUCACUCCUGCACACACACAGUGCCCAUCCUGCAUUGCUGGGACUGCACAGGCUCCCCCAGCACGGAGAAAUCUCUUGCCCAGGGUUUCUCUGGGACCAUUUAUAGUUUCAUUACAAUGAUGUGUACCAGCACCUCCACCCCUGAAAUCCGCUCCUGCUUUGGACAGCCACAUUCCCAGGAUCACGGGGACCCAGCUGGGCUUCAGCGCCCAGACCUGGCCAGGUCUGCAGCAGUGGGGAUGGGCAGAGAAACACCUCAGCACCUUCUGCUUUUAGCAGGGAUAAAAUUACCCAUUUCCCCUCCUUUGCAGCAUCUUUCCCUCCCGAGCCGAGCAGCGCUGGCCGCGGAGCCGGCACAUCCCCGGGCGGAGCGGAGCGCAGGGCUCCGGCUGACGCACAGCCCUGCCAGGUCAGCCAUGCUCACACUUUCCACGUCUGCGGCAUCUCAGCCUGGAGCAGAAACCCUGCAAAGCCCCUUCCUGCAGCAACCCGGGCGAGAAACACGCUGAGAAAAGCCCGAGGGAGGCACAGGACAGAGCAGCUCCGCGGGGAGCGAGGUUUGCACGAAAGAGCAGAAGUUUCUUUGCUCGGCCGCUGAGGCACAUUUGAAGGUGAAGGUUGGACGGGGCUGUGGGGAGCCCAGGCUGCCCAGAGCAGAGCGGAACACAAAGAAACCCAGCCCCAGCAUGAUGAAAUACAAGUUUAUUUGCUUUAGCUCGGGUCCAACUUCCCUCUCUUGCUCAGGAAAAAAUUCUUUAAUGCUGCUCUGUCUGGGAGCUUUCGUGCAAACCAGGUUUUUAACCAACUCGAAACACAACUCCAGAGAGAUGGCGAGUCCUGAGCACCCCGAGAUCCAAGGAAGCGGGACCGGAGCAUCCUGACUUCUCCAAGUCCUUUUGCUCUGCCCCCACUCUCCUGCUUCUCAUCCCAGACACGGAGUCAACGCGGCCGUAGCUGAACCGUGAAGGCAUCUCCUCCUCGGUGCCCAGGCUGCUUGGAAAGGAGAAGCAACUGCAGGUCACGGACAAGACCUGGGAAAGAUCCACCUGUGACAGGAGAGGGGAAUUGCCGAGGGACUGUGAGGAAAACCAGAGGCACAGCAAUCAGCUCCAGGUGGCAGCUUGGGCACAGAUAAUCCAGUGGAGCACAGGGAUGGAAUUUGUGGAGAUUACAAAGGCUGGGAACAUUUCCAUGGAACAUCCAGG
Long non-coding RNA from Motacilla alba alba, 2669 nucleotides. RefSeq lists it as uncharacterized. NCBI's taxonomy places the organism in Eukaryota, Metazoa, Chordata, Aves, Passeriformes, Motacillidae. The record is from RefSeq and is a predicted model, not a curated record. The transcript is spliced from 4 exons.